CCUACGGGAGGCUGCAGUGAGGAAUAUUGGUCAAUGGCCGCAGGGCUGAACCAGCCAAGUCGCGUGAGGGAUGACGGUCCUAUGGAUUGUAAACCUCUUUUGUCAGGGAGCAAAGGGCGCCACGUGUGGCGCUUUGCGAGUACCUGAAGAAAAAGCAUCGGCUAACUCCGUGCCAGCAGCCGCGGUAAUACGGAGGAUGCGAGCGUUAUCCGGAUUUAUUGGGUUUAAAGGGUGCGCAGGCGGAAUGUCAAGUCAGCGGUAAAAUUUCGGGGCUCAACCCCGUCGUGCCGUUGAAACUGGCGUUCUUGAGUGAGCGAGAAGUAUGCGGAAUGCGUGGUGUAGCGGUGAAAUGUAUAGAUAUCACGCAGAACUCCGAUUGCGAAGGCAGCAUACCGGCGCUCAACUGACGCUCAUGCACGAAAGCGUGGGUAUCGAACAGGAUUAGAUACCCGAGUAGUC
RNAcentral lists this ribosomal RNA (459 nucleotides) under uncultured bacterium. RNAcentral describes it as "partial 16S ribosomal RNA". It matches the Rfam family "Bacterial small subunit ribosomal RNA", at positions 338 to 795 of the family's 1533-position model. The record is from RNAcentral.